Molecule: ribosomal RNA, 160 nt
Filed under: Hypericum perforatum
Lineage: Eukaryota; Viridiplantae; Streptophyta; Magnoliopsida; Malpighiales; Hypericaceae
Description: 5.8S ribosomal RNA
Rfam family: 5.8S ribosomal RNA
About the family: 5.8S ribosomal RNA (5.8S rRNA) is a component of the large subunit of the eukaryotic ribosome. It is transcribed by RNA polymerase I as part of the 45S precursor that also contains 18S and 28S rRNA.
Source: RNAcentral
ACGACUCUCGGCAACGGAUAUAUAGGUUCUUGCAUCGAUGAAGAACGUAGCGAAAUGCGAUACUUGGUGUGAAUUGCAGAAUCCCGUGAACCAUCGAGUCUUUGAACGCAAGUUGCGCCCGAAGCCUUCUGGCCGAGGGCACGCCUGCCUGGGUGUCACA